RNAcentral lists this ribosomal RNA (305 nucleotides) under uncultured bacterium. RNAcentral's name for it is "partial 16S ribosomal RNA". It matches the Rfam family "Bacterial small subunit ribosomal RNA", at positions 506 to 807 of the family's 1533-position model. The record is from RNAcentral.
ACAGCAGUAGCCGCGGGAAAACGUAGGGUGCAAGCGUUAAUCGGAAUUACUGGGCGUAAAGCGUGCGCAGGCGGUUAUAUAAGACAGAUGUGAAAUCCCCGGGCUCAACCUGGGAACUGCAUUUGUGACUGUAUAGCUAGAGUACGGCAGAGGGGGAUGGAAUUCCGCGUGUAGCAGUGAAAUGCGUAGAUAUGCGGAGGAACACCGAUGGCGAAGGCAAUCCCCUGGGCCUGUACUGACGCUCAUGCACGAAAGCGUGGGGAGCAAACAGGAUUAGAUACCCCGGUAGUCCAUGUCUCUUAUAC